This 253-nucleotide ribosomal RNA is filed under the name uncultured bacterium. RNAcentral's name for it is "partial 16S ribosomal RNA". It matches the Rfam family "Bacterial small subunit ribosomal RNA", at positions 524 to 776 of the family's 1533-position model. The record is from RNAcentral.
UACAGAGGUCCCAAGCGUUGUUCGGAUUCACUGGGCGUAAAGGGCGCGUAGGCGGAUCUUUAAGUCGGGGGUGAAAGCCCAGGGCUCAACCCUGGAAUUGCCUUCGAUACUGGAGAUCUUGAGACCGGAAGAGGUAAGUGGAACUGCGAGUGUAGAGGUGAAAUUCGUAGAUAUUCGCAAGAACACCAGUGGCGAAGGCGGCUUACUGGUCCGGUUCUGACGCUGAGGCGCGAAAGCGUGGGGAGCAAACAGG